Molecule: long non-coding RNA, 277 nt
Filed under: Gossypium raimondii (Peruvian cotton)
Lineage: Eukaryota; Viridiplantae; Streptophyta; Magnoliopsida; Malvales; Malvaceae
Description: long non-coding RNA (GRAI_LNC008037)
Source: RNAcentral
UUAUACUGUAACAAUAUUUUAAUUUGGCAUGUUUAAUUUUUUACUUUAACUCGAACAAUUUCACUUGAUUCUGACUCGACUCGACACAAAUUUUUUUACUCGAAUCGAUUCGAAACAAUUUCAAAUCGAAUUAGGAUGAUAAAAUAGGACUCAUCAACUUGAUUAACUCGAAAAAUUUUCACUCUAUUCGAUGAAAUGCUCACCCCUACCAUACGUAACUUAAAAAGAAAAAGAAAAAAAAAAAGCCCUCACUUCCCAGACUGCAACGUUCGAAAAA